ACAGAGGGAUAAAAAGAGAGAGAGAGAGAGAAAGAGGGAGAGAGAGGGAAAGAAGAAAAAGAGCGAAAAUUUAAAGCUAAAAGGGCGGCACUUCAUAAGUGAAAGGCGGGACGUAACCAGUGAUAAAGCCAUCAUCCUCCUACAUUUUGCAACCAACCAAUGAAAUUAACAAUAUCUCUUUUCUCUCUCCCUCUCUCCCUCUCCCUAUUUCUCUUUCUUUCUCUCUUCACUGUUA
This 235-nucleotide non-coding RNA is filed under the name Brugia malayi. The record is from RNAcentral. Lineage: Eukaryota; Metazoa; Nematoda; Chromadorea; Rhabditida; Onchocercidae.